Molecule: long non-coding RNA, 949 nt
Organism: Tripterygium wilfordii
Lineage: Eukaryota; Viridiplantae; Streptophyta; Magnoliopsida; Celastrales; Celastraceae
Exons: 2
Source: RefSeq, a predicted model, not a curated record
CUCUCUCUCUCCCCUUCCUCUGGCUUUUAUGUUCCAUAUAUAUUUGGGUGUGUGUGUAUACAUAGAGAGCUCUACAUUUGGUGGUGGGUUAGGGUUCUCUCGUCAUAAGGGUGUGUUGACUGUUGAGGGGAAUGUUGGCUGGCUCGAGGCUUAAAACAAAGAUGGUGGGUUCUCAAGGGAACAAACUAACAAGCUAGUACUACCAAUGUGUUAAAGGCUUCGGACCAGGCUUCAUUCCCCUCAAACAUGUAUGUAUGUUUGAUUGAUAGUUGCUAUAUAUGUGAGGACUGAGGGUCAAGGGUGAGAGGAAUGUUGUCUGGCUCGAGGCCAUCAAGGUGUGAUCUUGAUCUCAUUCAAUAUUGGCCUAAAUGAUUCUCGGACCAGGCUUCAUUCCUCCCAACCAACGUUCAUUCACUAUUGCAAUUCUCUUUAUUUGUCAAGUACUAGUAAUUGUUUGUGGUAAGUUAGUUUGUUUGGUUUUUUGAAUUGCCUAGCUGGUUUUAGCUUUAUUUUGUUCCAUCAUCAAUUUCAUUGCUUUAAUUCUAGGUAUAGCUAGGAGGGUUUGCUUUUUUUUUCCUUUCAGGUUUCUUCUUCUACUUGACCAGCAGGUGCUAAUUAUUAAGGAGUUCUCUGUGGGAUGAUGAUGAUUAAUGCAAAUCAACAACUUUGAAGGUUCUUCUUCUAAGUUUUCUCACCUGAUGCGAGAUCUUACAUGGGUUUCAAUUUGUUCUUUCUUAAUUUAAAGCAAAUCAAACUUCAAUUAUAUACAGAUUUAUUUGUUUUUGUUAGGCUUUUACUUAUAAUUUCCAUGUAUGGCAGUACUGCAGCUUCUUCUUCUUCUUCUUCUUCUUCCUCUCUCUCUCUCUCACUGUACUCACUCUCUCAGUCUCUCUCUCUCUUGGGAUGAUGAUGGUUAAAUGUCAAUGCAAUUCAACAACUUUGAAGGGUA